Phasianus colchicus (ring-necked pheasant) is the source of this 1965-nucleotide long non-coding RNA. The record is from Ensembl. NCBI's taxonomy places the organism in Eukaryota, Metazoa, Chordata, Aves, Galliformes, Phasianidae.
AGAGUCAGACAUGUUUGAAGUGCCUCCUGGUAGUCCUCAUUACACACUGAAGAUAUCCCAGUGAUGCCAGCAGAAGAUGUGCUGGAGUACAGAGGCGUGUGGCUGUGCAGCAUGGGGAGAGGGCAUUCCUGUGUGUGACCAGUUUUUCCUGCAAAGCAACUGCUUGGUGCUGAUAGUGAGAACUGUAUGGCAACGUGUGCUGGAAGUCUUGCUGAUAUCUGAAAGCCUCAGGAUUUGCUCGCCGAGACACUGGGGACCCCCCUGCAGAAGUGCACCUGUUCUGCUGCUUGGUAUGGGCAGACACAUUGGCCAGGGGAAGAAGCAAAAAUCCCAAGAGGAGCAAGACCUUUCAGUUUUUGAGUUCUUAUUCCAAAAGUCUUUUGAGUCAGCAGCUGUGGGCCCUUCCCAGCUCUGGAAGGAAUGCCAGAUCAGUGCAGUGAGGAACAAGACUGAACUGCCACCACGCAUGUCAUGCAGAGCAUCAGCUGAAGCACAGAGAAGUCACUGCCCUGUUUACUGAGAGAGGUCAACCCUCUAUAAGCAGAGUUGCUGACAGAAUGGUAAAAUAUCAUCUGUCCUGCUCCAGCUAUGUGACCGAGCAAGCAAAGGGAUUUGGGCACGUUGUCUCUUCAUGUAUAUAAACAUAGUCUGUGUAAUCCUACCUAAUAGGGCAAUUAAACAUUAUCAGUAAAACAAGUGAGCUUUCAGGCCUCCGGCUCCUCAUAAGGUUAUAAGGAAAAUUGAAGUGAGCUGGCUUACUUCCUAGCAAGGGGUUGAUCACCAUUUUAGUUCCUAGAUCUGAAGGGAAAGAUGGAAAUAUGAGGGGAAAAAGAGGUGGGUUAGCAUUUCUCACCUGAAUGGCUGUAUGGAUUGCAGAAGUAGGAGUGCUGCCCAUGAUAAACAAAGAAUGAGGACAAAACAAAAGACAAGAAGUAUUCCUCCUGUGGGAGGGUUCUAAUUUAGCCAGUGCUGAGAACAUGGAUGAAAGAAAAACAGUGUUGCUACUGUAGAGGUGUCAAGAAAGUGGCUUGCUAUGUCAGUACAUUAAUGUUGAAGUCUAGCAACUUAGUUUUUCUUUAGUUUUCCUGAAGUCCAUGAAAAGGUUCCUGUGAUUCAUUAGUGCCAAUGGGGGGGAUUCCCUCUGGAUCUUUUUGUCUCUUGGUUACCUGCAUUUUUUUUCCUUGCCUCCUGAAGUAUGAUUACUUAUUGUAUAUGAUUACUUCUUGUAUAUCCUGAGGUGGUUUGGGAAGGAAUUAGAUAAUGGGCUGAUGAAAGGAGGGGACUUUCUGGAACAUGGAAAGUACCACUGAUAAUGAACUUUGCAUUCUUCUGGGACUGAGAAAAGCAUGCAUGGACUUUGGUUGUACUUUUAGCCAUUUAGCAAUUUAAUCUGUGCAUGCCUUUCUUUACAUCUUUUGGGCUCUGGCCCUGCCAAGACUGGGCUGUUUUUGGGAAAAUACCUCAUUGCUUCCUAAUACCAGAUCACUGCUCUAGCACACAGUGUUUCAUAACAAAUCCAUCCAAAGAGUGGUUAGGGUGUGCUGGAGCUGCCUUGGCAGAGGUUUUCAGUUAGAGCCGAGUCAGCACAGCCUCCAGCAGGUUCCCUUCCUCCGCCUUCCCUUCUGGGAUGGCUCCAACUCACCAGGCAGGAAUCCGAGCAGUGGGGACCUCCAGAAGGAUUUAAUCUAUCAGAAACUGAAUUGCUGUGCUGGCUGCAGUCACUCAUAAUUCAAAGAGAACAUGUUAGAGAAACUGAUCUAGAUUGAUUUUAAAAACUCAUCUGGCACUGUACCUCAGCAUUUCUUGAUCACUGCAGGAAAAAACUGAUUCUGAAAUAAUAUAAAGUAUAUUGCUGAAUUGGCAUAAGAAAAUCUCCAUUAGGGUAUCACUGAUUUUGCAGAGUAGGAUUUAGCAUCUGAAACUGAUGAUUAGAAACAAAUAAAAAUGAAAUGUAAAAUAUUGCCA